Molecule: transfer RNA, 71 nt
Filed under: Rattus norvegicus (Norway rat)
Lineage: Eukaryota; Metazoa; Chordata; Mammalia; Rodentia; Muridae
Rfam family: tRNA
About the family: Transfer RNA (tRNA) molecules are approximately 80 nucleotides in length. Their secondary structure includes four short double-helical elements and three loops (D, anti-codon, and T loops). Further hydrogen bonds mediate the characteristic L-shaped molecular structure. tRNAs have two regions of fundamental functional importance: the anti-codon, which is responsible for specific mRNA codon recognition, and the 3' end, to which the tRNAs corresponding amino acid is attached (by aminoacyl-tRNA synthetases). tRNAs cope with the degeneracy of the genetic code in two manners: having more than one tRNA (with a specific anti-codon) for a particular amino acid; and 'wobble' base-pairing, i.e. permitting non-standard base-pairing at the 3rd anti-codon position.
Source: Rfam by way of RNAcentral
GAGGACAUAGCUCGGUUGACAGAGUGCUUGCCUUACAAGCAGGAAGCCGGGGUUCAAUCCUCGAUUCUGCA